UACAGAGGGUGCAAGCGUUGUUCGGAAUUAUUGGGCGUAAAGCGCGUGCAGGCGGCUUUGCAAGUCGGGUGUGAAAUCCCUCGGCUUAACCGAGGAACUGCCCUCCAAACUGCUUCGCUUGAGACCGGGAGAGGUGAGUGGAAUUCCCAGUGUAGCGGUGAAAUGCGUAGAUAUUGGGAGGAACACCAGUGGCGAAGGCGGCUCACUGGACCGGUACUGACGCUGAUGCGCGAAAGCGUGGGGAGCAAACGGGG
This 254-nucleotide ribosomal RNA is filed under the name uncultured bacterium. RNAcentral's name for it is "partial 16S ribosomal RNA". It matches the Rfam family "Bacterial small subunit ribosomal RNA", at positions 524 to 777 of the family's 1533-position model. The record is from RNAcentral.